CACAGCUUCUACCAUCAGAUCUCACAACUCACGAGUCUCAUCGCCCAAACGAGCAAGCUUUUGUCCCUCACCUCCGGUCACUCAUUUAUUCUCACCGCCGGUCAUCCAUCUAUUCUCACCGUCGGUCACUCAUCUAUCAAGAAGUGGUUUGGCUUUCAAUCUGCAUCCAAAGAAGAACCAGGAGGAUGAUGUUCCACAGAUUCAAAAAAGUGAAAGUAUAUCAAAGUAAAAGGAAGAUAAGAAGGCUCACUAGAAGAUUGUGAAGUGCCAAGAAAAAUUCAAUCUUUGUUGUUGUUAAAAAAUCUGUUGUAGAAUUUGUUGUAGAAUUUUUAUAACGUGUUCUUGACUUCUUGUUAAAAAAUUUGUUGUAGAAUUUUUAUAAUUUGGACCAUGCUGGAAGUAUUGUGUAAUGAAUGAGAUAUUUUAUUUUUA
Gastrolobium bilobum is the source of this 432-nucleotide long non-coding RNA. RefSeq lists it as uncharacterized. The record is from RefSeq and is a predicted model, not a curated record. Lineage: Eukaryota; Viridiplantae; Streptophyta; Magnoliopsida; Fabales; Fabaceae. The transcript has 3 exons.